Molecule: long non-coding RNA, 329 nt
Filed under: Neogobius melanostomus (round goby)
Lineage: Eukaryota; Metazoa; Chordata; Actinopteri; Gobiiformes; Gobiidae
Description: lncRNA (ENSNMLG00000016929.1)
Source: RNAcentral
AGUUCCUGCAGUACUCCAGGGACCUGCCCCCGACAGAGGAGGACAUGCAGGCGACCCCGGACAGAAAGGCCCAGGAGGUGACCUUAUGGCUGAACCAGGCGUACGACGAGCUGCUGGAGGGAUGGGAUUCCACCGAGGGAGAGAGCUACUCGGAGAGAUACCACGUGAUCCAGACGUUCUUGGUGUCGUUCAACGAGCAGAGGCGCCCGAUCAUGCCCCUCCUGACCGCCAUGAGACGAACUCCCCAACUCAGCGACGAGCAGAGAGCUCUGAGGCAGGCCUGGGACGCGGUCACCGAGAAGCUGCGUGAGUACCGGAUGGAGCUGGAC